Falco peregrinus (peregrine falcon) is the source of this 2855-nucleotide long non-coding RNA. RefSeq lists it as uncharacterized. The record is from RefSeq and is a predicted model, not a curated record. NCBI's taxonomy places the organism in Eukaryota, Metazoa, Chordata, Aves, Falconiformes, Falconidae. The transcript is spliced from 4 exons.
CUGAGAUAUUCUCUACAGCCCUUGUGAACCUGGAAAUCCCACUUUGCACUUCCAAGGAGAUCAAUACUCAUCAUCACUACCACAAGUUAUUGAAAAUGCCACCUCAAAGAGAUUGUAAUGCUCAUCUGGAAGUUAAAGAAGUUUUACACCAGCUGCAAAAAGACAGAAAAUGCAAGGUAGAAUGUUAGGAGGAGUAUGGUGUACUGGUAACAGCUGAUUCAACAUCAAACCUUCCUGUUAUCACAUCACACAUUGAACAAGUUUGAACUGGCAAGGGUACUGUAUUCACCAGCUACAAAGGAUGGGAAAGGACCAUACACAGAAAAUUUGUAAAUCUAGGCAACAAGCUUCUUUUUAUAGGCUUGUGACAACACAAUUUGAAUACAGAAAACCUGAUCUUAUUGGAAAAAGUUAGUCUUUUCUUUUGAUCUUAAUCAGGAUAAAAGAAUACAUCUAAAAAUACAGACCUUUAUUUUUUUUUCCUGAGUUGCUGUGAUUGCCUAAUGUUAUUGACUUUUGUUUUCAAAUAAAUAACUUGCCACAAGAAAAGUGGAAGAAACAAUAAAACAGGUCUUUUCCUAGUCUCAACUCCCCUUGUUUUCACCACACAUUGUACUCAGUCCCACCUUGAUGAGGUCAGGUGGUGGUGCAGGAGGUUAAAGUCAGAACAUAGAGGUUUCCUUCUACUCCUCACUUCUUGUUUUCCUCUGCUGCUCCUUAUUUCUUACUGCUCCUCUGCUCCAGUGUAGACUACCCAUGGGCUGCAGUCCCUCUGAGACACCCCUGCUCCAGCAUGCAGGAAUGGCACAAAGUGGCUCAUGGUCUCUUCCCGUACAGAGCACCCUGCAGCCCUCAAUACUGAAGGCUUACAACAUUGUAAGCUAUUUUCAACUGGUUAAUAACCUCGUGCAAUCUAAUUACAUCAUUCUUUUGGGAGGAAAAGAAAAGCACAGGUUAGUUCUUUAUUGUAUUCUGGAACACUGAUGCUUUGAAAAUAUAAUUAACAAAACUUCUCAAGCAAAACCUAUUUGUUGGGUUGAAUUGAAAUAUGUUUAUAUCAUCUGUUUUUCUACAUAAAAUUCUUAUUUUAUAAUAACAUACAUUUUUCCUUCACACUACAGGUUACUGAAAUCCUUGGAAAGCAUUUUUAUGUCUAUCACCCUCAAAGAACUGGAGAAAAAAAUGCAUAAUUUAUAUGUGUAAGAACGCACCUGUUCUCACAAUCCUCUGUUUAAUAUAAGAGAAGACAAAAUUAUUUCUAUAUUCUUUGGGGUAUAUAAAUACUUUGAAGAGAACCGUGCAGAAGCAGGCAUGUUUUUUACUUAAGGCUGCAAGACUCUUAAAACCACACACAGAAUUUGGUUAGACUAAUUGAGGCAGACUUGCAGCACUGGAUUAAAAUCAAAGGCUUUAAACCGUUGCUGCCCCUGAGGGCCCUCCAUGCCCUCCUGAGCAGCGUUUCCUCCCUGGAGGCAAGGAUGUCUGAUUUGCUUGUGAAUAAGUAGUACCACUAUGGCCUUCAUCCUUUAUCUUAUGUUAAACUGACUCCAGUUUUGUUUAACUUCUGUAUAAUAGACUGGAAACUGAGGUGAUGCUGGAGAUGAUUUUUGAGUGGGUCAUGUGUACCUACCUCGGGGACAACUAUGCUUAUCAGUGGGAUGAGAAAGAUGAGUAGGGGUGGUAGGAGCUGCAGCUGAUUGUUUUACAUCUGCUACUUCAUGUUAAGAGCCCUAAGAGGAGGAAUAUCUUCUUUGAUUACUUUACUUCCCUUCAUAUUUCAUCCAUGUUCUUAAUUUCUCUAUUUACCACACAGUUAUUGCUGUUAUGUAACCUGGAGUAGAUCUUUGUAAUUGGAACAUUUGUUUGGUUUGUGAGGUAUUUAACACUUUCUGGCUCAAAACAAAAAAUAAUUGAAAUGUAAUGUAAUAAGAAAUUAAUACAAUAUCUGUAGUGGCAGACCUGAUUCUAAGUCGUGAUGUUAACAAUGAAAAUUUCUGAAAAGAAGCCUGAAGUAUAAUUCAGUAAAUUGUUGUGAACAAACUAGGGAUUUAAGUAGUGAGAAAAGUUAACAAAUACACAUGUGAAUUUUGUAUAAUGGCUAGUACAAUUUAUGACACCAGCCCCCCUCAAAUGCAUUUUGUACUUACAUCACCAUUAUGCAAGUUUAGCAGGUCACCAUACACAGGACACUGCACUUGGUUGCCUGCAUUCCAUAUAGUAUUAGUAACAUUUCCAACAUAGAACUUCUCUUUAUAAAGCAUGAACAGGCAGAAUAGAAUCUACCUGAUUCUCAAAAGACAGUACAGUCUGUGUUUCUAUAAUGCUGUGUAAUUCCUACUCAGAGCCACUCCUGAACAGUAAGGGUGAUUUAAUUAUCUAAACAGUAAUUAGGAAAUUAAAUGGAGUUGAAAGCUUACAUUCCUUUGAGGCUCGGGACUUGGCAAAUACGGAAAAAAGUCAAAUGCUUCUCUCCCUGAUCACAUCUGAAGGGGUAUGCAGUAGUGUAAAACUUCAGAAGAAAAGCUUUUUUUCCGCUCAAGAUAAUUAAGGGUGCAUAUUUCACUUCUGCUGAGAUGAAAAAAAAAAACCAAAACCAAAACCCAAAACAUAUUAAGUUUCAUCUAGAUGUAGGUAAGCUUGAAGACAGAAGCUAGUAAAAGGGAUUUCAACUUUUAUAAUCAUAAUUAAACACCAAAAUGUGGUUCACAAAUAACCUAAACUCCGGCUCCAUUAAAACCAGUUACUUAUCGGUGUACUGUACGUUGUAUCAUCUAAACUUGAAUUCUGUUUAUUUGCAGAACAGGAAGUAAGGAACAAUUAUAUUUAGGAAGAACCCUAAAUAGUUAGAACCAGAG